RNAcentral lists this ribosomal RNA (381 nucleotides) under uncultured eukaryote. RNAcentral's name for it is "partial 18S ribosomal RNA". It matches the Rfam family "Eukaryotic small subunit ribosomal RNA", at positions 592 to 976 of the family's 1831-position model. The record is from RNAcentral.
CAAUAGCGUAUAUUAAAGCUGUUGCGGUUAAAAAGCUCGUAGUUGGAUUUCUGUCAAGGACAACUGGUCCGCCCUCCGGGUGAGCACAUAGUUUGGUCUUGGCAUCUUGCUGGAAACUGUUGCUGCGCUUGGUUGUGUGGUGCAGCUUUCAGCACUCUCACUUUGAGGAAAUUGGAGUGUUUCAAGCAGGCACAUGCCUUUGGACACAGUAGCAUGGAAUAAUUAGAUUGGGCUUUUGCUCCAACUUGUUGGUUCCUGGAGCUGAGGUGAGAAUCAAUGGGGAUUGUUGGGGGCAUCCGAAUUUAGCCGUCAGAGGUGAAAUUCUUGGAUCUGCUAAAGACGGACAACUGCGAAAGCGUUUGCCCAGGAUGUUUUCAUUGA